GCGAGUUCGUAAAUGUACAAGAUGUUUUGCGAAAUGUCACUGGUCGGUUGCGUGAUAACCUCUUGGCAGCAAAGGUGUCAAAUGGUGGUGUCAGCAGAAACAGCUCUCCUUUGACAUCUGAAAGUAGUCCCUCUGGCCAAAUGAGGGAACCUCCUUUUGGAUUUCAUCGGUCUAGUGGUGUCUCGCAUGGUAACAAUCAACAUCCUGAGUUAACGCGGUCUAUUAAUAACCUUGUACUUUCCAACAAGACAGAUCACCCCCCAUCACCGGGGCUGUGGUCAUCACAGACACGACCUGGAGUAAACCAAAGAGGUGCUUUUGAUGUCAGCAAAGGAUCUAAUUCAGUUAAAGGUGGCAUGGAACUUGGAAGUGGAAGCAGAUCUGC
This 385-nucleotide unclassified non-coding RNA is filed under the name Hevea brasiliensis (rubber tree). Lineage: Eukaryota; Viridiplantae; Streptophyta; Magnoliopsida; Malpighiales; Euphorbiaceae. The record is from RNAcentral.